This is a long non-coding RNA of Mastomys coucha (southern multimammate mouse), 376 nucleotides long. RefSeq lists it as uncharacterized. NCBI's taxonomy places the organism in Eukaryota, Metazoa, Chordata, Mammalia, Rodentia, Muridae. The record is from RefSeq and is a predicted model, not a curated record. The transcript has 2 exons.
CCUCUACUCAGAAUGCCGACUGGGGAGGUGCCGUCCAGAUCCUACAUUCUUAUUUGAAUCUAUUUUUGUUUUUCUUUCUUGAUCCCUAGAGGAAACUGGGAGCCAGCAGCCCACAAUGCUAGAGCGAUAUCAAACAACUCAGCAGAUGACCCCGGAAGGAUGAGUCAUAUGCCUGCUUCCAGCACAGAAGCCGGAUUAGCCCCGACUAGUGCGCAGCAGAAGGUUUUCUUUAUAAAGCUUUGGAAUUAAAAUGGAUAUCCCAGAUUUCCAUGGCCCGGUUGUACUUCUCAUCCAGGAAUUUAAAGCUGAAUGUAAAAGAGUGAAUUAUAACUUGUAAGUCUUUAAGCACAAUGUUGAAUAAACCUUACGUUAAUUA